RNAcentral lists this ribosomal RNA (495 nucleotides) under Laevistrombus guidoi. RNAcentral's name for it is "partial 16S ribosomal RNA". It matches the Rfam family "Bacterial large subunit ribosomal RNA", at positions 1845 to 2598 of the family's 2925-position model. The record is from RNAcentral. Lineage: Eukaryota; Metazoa; Mollusca; Gastropoda; Littorinimorpha; Strombidae.
AUAUAGAGUCGGACCUGCCCAGUGAAUAUUUUUAACGGCCGCGGUACUCUGACCGUGCAAAGGUAGCAUAAUCAUUUGCCCUAUAAUUGAGGGCUAGUAUGAAUGGUUUGACGUGAGCAAAGCUGUCUCUUAUAGAAUAGUUAGAAUUUAACUUAUAGGUGAAGAUGCCUAUAUAAUAUUGAUAGACAAGAAGACCCUAUCGAGCUUUAAAAAAAUAUUUAGGACAAGAUUACCCUAUUUUAUGGAUAUUUAACUAAAUAAAAUUUUGGUUGGGGCGACUGAGGAACAAAUAAAGCUUCCUUUAAUUUAUCUAUACUUUUCUGGUAAUGAUCCAGUUCUAUACUGAUCAAAGAAAUUAGUUACCGUAGGGAUAACAGCAUAAUCUUUUUUGAGAGCUCAUAUCGAAAAAAAGGUUUGUGACCUCGAUGUUGGACUAGAGUUUCCUGAAGAUGUAGAAGUCUUCAAGGGUUGGUCUGUUCGACCAUUAAAACUCUA